AGCCUAAAGGUUUAUUUUAGGUGAUACCUGCCCAGUGCUAAUAAUUGUAAACGGCCGCAGUACCUUGACUGUGCUAAGGUAGCAUAAUAAUUUGGCUUUUAAAUGGAGUCGGGAAUGAAUGGGAUAAUGGGAUAAAGCUGUCUCUACUAUAAUAAAUUUAAUUUACUUAUUAGGUGAAAAUGCCUAAAUUAUAGAAAAAAGACGAGAAGACCCUAGGAGUUUUUACUAAAAAACUAUUUUUAGUUUUGCGUUUUUGUUGGGGCGACAGGGGAAGACUAUAUAACUUCCUUUUAAAAACUUGCCGACUAUGUAUGAAAGUUUAAACUACCCUAGGGAUAACAGCGUAAUUCUUUAUUGAGUUUGCGACCUCGAUGUUGGACUAGGAACUAGGUAGGCUAGCCGCCUAUCUAUAUUGUUCUGUUCGAACUAUGCUUCCUACAU
This 441-nucleotide ribosomal RNA is filed under the name Cyerce nigra. RNAcentral's name for it is "partial small subunit ribosomal RNA". It matches the Rfam family "Bacterial large subunit ribosomal RNA", at positions 1829 to 2601 of the family's 2925-position model. The record is from RNAcentral. Lineage: Eukaryota; Metazoa; Mollusca; Gastropoda; Caliphyllidae.